CCUGGGAAUGGGGACAGAGGGGAUUUGGGGACAAAUCCCGGGGAUUUGGGGACCUGUGGAACUGCAGAAAUGUGGGAUUGGGAAUUUAUGGAAUUGGGGAUCCAUGGAAAUGCAGGAAUGUGGAAUUUGGGAUUUAUGGAUUUGGGGAUUGAUGGAAUUGGGGAUUGAUGGAAUUGGGGAUUGAUGGAAAUGCAGAAAUACGGAAUUGGGUGCCUGCAGAAAUGUGGAAUUGGGAAUUGAUGGAAAUGCAGAAAUAUAGGAUUUGGGGAUCCAUGGAAUUGGGGAUUUAUGGAAUUGCAGGGAUAUCGGUUUGGGGAUCCAUGGAAAAAAUGCAGGAAUUUCCAUUUGGGGACCUAUGGAAAUGGGGAUUUAUGGAAAUGCAGAAAUGUGGAAUUGGGGAUUUAUUCAAUUGGGGAUCCAUGGAAAUGCAGAAAUGUGGGAUUGGAGAUUUAUUAAAUUGGGAAUUUAUUCAAUUUGGGGAUCCAUGGAAAUGCGGGAAUGUGGGAUUGGGGAUUUAUGGAAUUGGGAAUUUAUUAAAGUGGGGAUCCAUGGAAAUGCGGGAAUGUGGAAUUGGAGAUUUAUGGAAUUGGGGAUUUAUGGAAUUGGGGAUUUAUUCAAUUUGGGGAUCCAUGGAAAUGCAGAAAUAUGAAAUUCGGGACCUGUGGAACUGCAGAAAUGUGGGAUUGGAGAUUUAUGGAAUUGGGAAUUUAUUAAAUUGGGGAUCCAUGGAAAUGCGGGAAUGUGGAAAUGGGGAUUUAUUGAAUUGGGGAUCCAUGGAAAUGCAGGAAUGUGGGAUUGGAGAUUUAUUAAAUUGGGAAUUUAUUAAAUUGGGGAUCCAUGGAAAUGCAGGAAUGUGGGAUUGGGGAUUUAUGGAAUUGGGAAUUUAUUCAAUUUGGGAUCCAUGGAAAUGCGGGAAUGUGGAAAUGGGGAUUUAUGGAAUUGGGGAUUUAUGGAAUUGGGGAUUUAUGGAAUUGGGGAUCCAUGGAAAUGCAGGAAUGUGGGAUUGGAGAUUUAUGGAAUUGGGAAUUUAUUAAAUUGGGGAUCCAUGGAAAUGCAGG
Molecule: long non-coding RNA, 1058 nt
Filed under: Zonotrichia albicollis (white-throated sparrow)
Lineage: Eukaryota; Metazoa; Chordata; Aves; Passeriformes; Passerellidae
Description: lncRNA (ENSZALG00000000987.1)
Source: RNAcentral